This 468-nucleotide ribosomal RNA is filed under the name uncultured bacterium. Its description in RNAcentral is "partial 16S ribosomal RNA". It matches the Rfam family "Bacterial small subunit ribosomal RNA", at positions 28 to 507 of the family's 1533-position model. The record is from RNAcentral.
GACGAACGCUGGCGGCGUGCUUAACACAUGCAAGUCGAACGAACAGGCCCUGCUUUUGUGGGGUGCUCGAGUGCCGAACGGGUGAGUAAAACGUGAGUAACAUGCCCCUAUAUUUCGGGUAAAUUCAGGAAAAUGCGGCUCAUACCGCAUAGAAUCUCCUGAUCCAUGGUGGUGGUUGGAAAAUUUCGGCCGUUCGGGAUGGACUCGCGGCUUAUCAGCUUGUUGGUGGGGUAGUGGCUUACCAAGGCUUUGACGGGUAGCCGGCCUGAGAGGGGGACCGGGCACAUUGGGACUGAGAGACGGACCAGAAGCCUACGGGAGGCAGCAGGCGGGAAUAUUGCACAAUGGGCGGAAGUCUGAGGCAGCAACGCCGGGAGCGUGAAGACGUCCUAUGGGGUGUAAACCGCUGUCGCCGGUGACGAAGCGGGAGUGACGGUAAUGGGUAAAGAAGCACCGGCUAACUACGUG